Molecule: non-coding RNA, 795 nt
Filed under: Roisinitermes ebogoensis
Lineage: Eukaryota; Metazoa; Arthropoda; Insecta; Blattodea; Kalotermitidae
Source: RNAcentral
GAGAGGUUUUAUUCUUGCUGUUUUGUUCAGUAUUAUUUUGUUUUAUAUGCAAGUUCUUGCGGGUUUGUUUGAGGUUUUCUUGAUGGCUGUUAUUUAUGUGUUUUAAUUCGCAUUAUUUCGUUUUAUAUAUUUUGGUUGCAUUGAUUUAGUAAUAAUUUUAAUACCGGUUAAGUUUGUGCCAGCAGCCGCGGUUAUACAUUAGGUGUUAUUGAACAUUUUUGGUUGUGCAGUUCUAUUUUUGUUAAUUGGGUUGAUUGAAUUGGUUGUUUUGUUGGUGAAAUGAUUUUAUUCCUAGUUGGUGCUUGGUAAUUGUUUUUGUAAGCUGUGAAAUCUAUGUAUAGACUAGGAUUAGAUACCCUAUUAUUUUAGAUGUUAAUUAGUUUUCCUGGGUAGUAUUAGGUGUGUUCUUGAAACCCAAAGAAUUUGGCGGUAUUCUUUACUUUUCAGAGGAAUCUGCCCCGUGAUCGAUGAUCCACGUAGGACCUUACUUGAUAUUUGUUUGUAUACCGCCGUUUUACUGAGAAUCUUUUUAGUGGUUAAAUUUUCUGGUUUCAUUAUUGUGGUUUAUUUCAGGUCAAGGUGCAAUUUGUUUUCAAGUGUGAGGUGGAUUACAUUACGUUGUUGAGUUUGGAUUACUAGAUGGUAUUUUGGUAAGAAAUUGGAUUUGAUUGUAAUUUGCUGAAGAUUGUGUUAAUGAUAUUAGUUCUGGAGUAUGUACACAUCGCCCGUCGCUCUCAUGUUCAUUGAGAUAAGUCGUAACAAAGUGGUCGUACCGGAAGGUGUGGCUGGGUUGAC